Molecule: ribosomal RNA, 228 nt
Filed under: uncultured bacterium
Lineage: Bacteria
Description: partial 16S ribosomal RNA
Rfam family: Bacterial small subunit ribosomal RNA
Source: RNAcentral
UGCGUAGGCGGAUUAAUAAGUCAGUGGUGAAAUCUCCCGGCUCAACCGGGAAACUGCCAUUGAUACUGUUAGUCUAGAGUUUAGAUGAAGUGGGCGGAAUGUAGCAUGUAGCGGUGAAAUGCUUAGAUAUGCUACAGAACACCGAUUGCGAAGGCAGCUCACUAAGCUAAAACUGACGCUCAUGCACGAAAGCGUGGGGAUCAAACAGGAUUAGAUACCCUGGUAGUC